RNAcentral lists this transfer RNA (72 nucleotides) under Candidatus Bathyarchaeota archaeon. RNAcentral's name for it is "tRNA-Cys". It matches the Rfam family "tRNA". From Rfam's summary of the family: Transfer RNA (tRNA) molecules are approximately 80 nucleotides in length. The record is from RNAcentral. Lineage: Archaea; Thermoproteati; Candidatus Bathyarchaeota. RNAcentral also lists the same sequence under 1 other name.
GCCGGGGUGACUGAGCGGUUAGGUGGUCGGCUGCAGACCGGCUUUACUUGGGUUCGAAUCCCAACCCCGGCA